Molecule: transfer RNA, 72 nt
Filed under: Marmota marmota marmota (Alpine marmot)
Lineage: Eukaryota; Metazoa; Chordata; Mammalia; Rodentia; Sciuridae
Also listed under: 1 other name
Rfam family: tRNA
About the family: Transfer RNA (tRNA) molecules are approximately 80 nucleotides in length. Their secondary structure includes four short double-helical elements and three loops (D, anti-codon, and T loops).
Source: Rfam by way of RNAcentral
GGGGAUAUAGCUCAGUGUCAGAGCAUUUUCUUAGCAAAUGUGAGGCCCUGAGUUCAAUCCCCAGUAACACCA